Molecule: long non-coding RNA, 1494 nt
Organism: Scylla paramamosain (green mud crab)
Lineage: Eukaryota; Metazoa; Arthropoda; Malacostraca; Decapoda; Portunidae
Exons: 4
Source: RefSeq, a predicted model, not a curated record
CACAGGCACACACACACACACACACACACACACACACACACACACACACACACACACACACACACACACACACACACACACACACACACACACACACACACACUCUCUCUCUCUCUCUCUCUCUCUCUCUCUCUCUCUCUCUCUCUCUCUCUCUCUCUCUCUCUCUCUCUCUCUCUCUCUCUCUCUCUCACACACACACACACACACACACACACACACACACACACACACACACACACACACACACACACACACACACACUCUCUCUCUCUCUCUCUCUCUCUCUCUCUCUCUCUCUCUCUCUCUCUCUCUCUCUCUCUCUCUCUCUCUCGCUAUUUCUUAUCAUUAACGUGUUUGUCUAUUGUUGCAGAUUGUGUUGCGUGCAGUGUUACCAGAAGUAGAGUGCAGGGAGUGGCCAGCCGCUAGCCAGACUCAGAGUCAGGUCAGGUGAAGCAGUUAGUCUGGCCUUGACUCUCGCUUAGCACAGCCGCGGCCGCACACCACAGCAAACCCAAGGCUGUGGUCUGUUUGCCUGCGUGACCUUGACGUAUAGAACACUACAGGAGUUUUGCGUGUGUGUCAGUGUUGCCAGCCAAGACCACCAGUGUUACCAGAUGAAAGGGGAGAUGGGUAGAGGGAGGCGCUAAGUGGAUGAAAGCCUCCACCUUCUUUCCCUGUUGCUCCGCCAUCCACGCCCGCCCUCCCACGGCUCUCCACUGACCACCAGGAGGGAACACGAGUCGUCCAGGUCGUCUUAAAAAGGUGUGGAGUGUUGCCGCAGGUGUGGACUGCCGGCGACCUGCGUGACAAAGGAAGGUUUGGAACAAAACAAGAAGCAAGAACAAUUAAGAUGAACACUAGCCACACCACAGAACUGUUACUGCUGGCACCACCACCAUCACCACCACCACCACCACCCUGCCAAGUGGACACCCCAGUGUGAGCGGAGCCAUCAACACCAGCCUGAGGACUAAUUGCUUAUGUACCAGAGGAGUGUGACAGUCUACCAAUACCUUGGAAGGAAGGUGAUGGUGAGGAACAGUGAAGAAAGAUGACGGAGCAGAAACAGGCCCACACCAUCCUGGAAUGUGCUGCAAAUAAUCUUGGUUACCGGCAAAGUAAAGAGAUAAAGAGAUAGAUAGAUACAGAGAUAGAUAAUUAUUAGUAAGAGUGAGAUUAAGAUAGAUAGAUAAUUAUUAUUAAGAGUGUUAGUUAGAUAGAUAUAUACAGAGAUAGAUAAUUAUUAGUAAGAGUGAGAUUAAGAGUGAGAUUAAGAUAGAUAAUUAUUAUUAAGAGUGCUAGAUUAUUAUAUUCUUAUUAUAUUAUUUUAUUUGUGUGUGUGGUGUGUGUGUGUGUGUGUUCUCUUUUCAGAAGUGUGUUUGGAAUGCAAGAAAUAUACAAGACCACAGAAGAUUCUAUAGUGGUGGUGGUGGUAGUAGUAGUAGUAAUAGUAGUAGUAGUAGUAGUAGUAGUACUUUAUCAAUAUACAGGGCA